GGUACGGAAGCGAUGCAGAGCAGCUGGGCAGAGGUGAGGCCAAUCUCUGCACUGGGUUUAACGGGACCCAGUUUAGUCUGGGAGUGGAGAGCAUGCCAUGCCCACGGGCCAUCCAGAUGGGGGUCCAGGAGGCAGGGCGGACUAUCCACGAUCAGGAGACGGAUCUGGGAGGAAGGUGUGGAUCUAGGGGAUAGCCAGCACCCGGCAGUUUAUAAAGCAUUUUCUCAUACCCCUUAGUUUAAUAUGGGCACCAACUGAUCAGAAGGGUCACCGGAGAUCCUCUAUGGAGCUAGAAGUUAACCCUUCCAUUGCUGAAUCGUGCUGGGCGUGGUGAUGUGUUGGAUGGAAGGGGCACUCAGGGGGCUCUGAGCACCAGCGACUUACCAAGCAGUAAGUUAGAAUCUUUGCAUGCCAGCUGAAUAUCUGGUUCCUCACAUGAUCCUCAGAGGAAUCUGCUGAGGCAGAUACUAUAAUCCCUUCUUAAAAAGAGGAAACCAGGGCUCAGUGAGGGGAAUGGCUUGCCAGGAAUCGGACAGCUCCUAAGCGGGAGGGCUGGAGUUGAACCCAGGUCCAUCGGAUCCCGCAUCCUACAUCUGUAGUUGCUGGAGUGGGCAUCAGAGCCUGAAGCUCUUGGCUCUGAGUCAGGGCUCUCUUCCCAUUGUUCAGAUGGCCACUUCCUGUAGUGAAUUCCAGAACUUCUCAUCAUAAGCCAGUAGUUCCUUCCAAGAAAUGGUGCUGAGAAUGUCCAGGCCUGUGGGGGAGGUGGGGUGGGAUGGGAAAAUCUAGCACCAGGCACGGGGGAUUUUCCAGACCUGGGGAUCCCCCAGCUCCUGGUUUGAAGCCCAGGCAUGUGUGGGAAGGUUUGUGGCCUCUCCAGUGGAUAGCGCCUCCCCGGGGGCGGAAGGAGACCUGGGUGGCCGGCCAUGCCUGCCUUGGCUCGGGCCUACCACUUCGAGCCUGUUUCCUUCAGGGAAAUGGGCUACCUGGGAAGCAGUGAGCCUGGUUCCUGAAAAUGCUUCUGUAGAGCCUGGCUGUUCACUCAUUUGUUCAUCCAUUCAUUUAACACUGAGCAACUGUUUAGGGAGUGCUUGCCACAUGCUCCGUGUCACUUGGGUCCUGCCUCACCUGGGUCUAGCCUUAGCCUGUGUCCAGGCUGGUAGAGAAGUUGUGUGCUUGACCCAGUGACGCAGACUGGGGAGUGGACAGGGGAGGGAUGCUCUGGUGGUCCCUGCGUCCCCUGGGCCAGCACAUGGAGAUGCGACCGAGGGCUAUUGAUUGAUGGGUCAAGGGAGGAAGGGCUGAGGCUGGACAAAAGGGAGGCUUCCUGGCUGGCAUGAGGGAAAGCCCUACAGGGGAUGAGAGUUGGGGUGGCGUCUCUAUCCUUGGGGGGCAGCCUCUGCCCUCAGGGUCUGACAGCCACCCAUUUAGAGGCAGGAGGCUGAACUCAGAGACGAGGGGCCUUCCCAGAUCUGGAAUCUUCAGUUCUGCUAUGGCUCCAGGUGGCCUCCAGCUGCCCAAAGGACAUUCUGGCAAUUUGCUCAGCUAUGACCCAGAACACACUGAACUGUCUUGCUAAAUCCUGCUCAGGGAGGAGGCGGGGAGUGGAGGAGGGAGUUUCUACCCGCAGUGCUCUGGUCUCCUGUUCCUGACGCCUGAAGUCCCAGGCACGGCUUCAUAGGGUUGCACGGUGUCAGGUGUUUGAAAACAUGACCUGGUAAGUUUUUCUUUUAACUUUUCCCAUUUCCCCGUGAAAAUGAUUUUAGAAGCCAGCUCCUUACUCUUCCCCCCUCUCUCAGUCACGAUCUCAUCCUCAUCCUCACGGGGCCGUGGUACUCAGCAGGGAGGAUAGGUUCCCCUGUGACCUCCCACAGAGGACGUGACUGCAUGAGGAGGGGAAGACGUCGAGGAGACCAAGCUCCAGGGAGCACCUACUAUGUUCCAGGGCUUAUGCAAUGUGCUUUGCUUAUCAGCUUCCUUUUUUUGGAGGAGGAGACCGAGAGAGAAAGGCAUAUGUGCAAGAGCACACAGUUGAUAAUAAUUACACUAAGACCAAUAAAAAUGAUAAUUAUGAGUGAAACCAUCAUUUGAAAAUCUGACAGUUUCUUACAUUCAACCUAACACAUUUUAUUCAGGCACAAAGCCGGAGAUUCUCUCUAUAUAUUCUUGCAGGAGGAAACUCUCUGAUUUCAAAGCUGAGGAAAUUGAGGCCAAGAGAGAUCAGGUGACUUGCCAACAUCUCCCAGCAAGCCAGCCGUGGGGCCAGGCUUUGAACUCAGGUCACUUUCCAAAGCCCCUCAAUUCCCUGGCCCCAAGCCAUGACCCACUUUGUCUCCUUUCCUGAAACUCUCGCUGACUCAGGCGAUGGAAAGACACUGGCCUGGUAGUUGGAAAACUGGGUUGGAACAGGCUCUGCCCCAAAGUGGUAGGUGGCCUUGGGCAGGUCUCUCCCCUCUCUGGGACUCACGGUCCACAUCUGAAAAAUGUGGGUUUGAGUUCAUCCAUUUCCCACUGUGACCAUCUCUGGAUGUGUGUCAUGCGUUUGGAAGGCUGGGACCUCGUCUGCCUCAUUUGGACCCCCAGUGCCUGGGGUGGCCCUUUACUGAGGGGACCUCUGUGAACUUUCACUGACCGUGGGGGCCGGAGGGAGCGAGUGUGGCUGCGCUGGGGGUGGGCGGCUUGCAGGUACCACGGGAGGGGCAGGGAGUUCAGGGCUGCUCCUUGUGGAGUAGAAGGCUGCCCGCCUGGUGACAGGGCCAUUCCUCCCUUCUUCUAAAGAUUUUAGGCUUCUAAAGAGGGAGAUUCUGGGGACUCCUCUCAGUCUUGCUGGGGGGCUCAUAGCCUGAGAUGCCCCUCACCACAAAGGCUUGUGGCUCUUGAACUUUACUGGGCCUCCUGAAAGGUAGGGGGUGGGAAGCUUGCUAAGGGGCUGCUGUGUCUAGAGCUGAACUGCUACAGUCAUUGAGGUCACCCAGUAGUCAGCCAUGCCCCCCACUCCCACGCCAGAGAAAGCGGAGCAAGACCAUGGGAACGCCGAGCAGGAGACAGACAGAGCUGUCUGUCUGCCCACCUCAAAUAACCACCCACCCAGCUCUGGGAGAAGAGCGAGAACAACACCAGUGCUUUCCACAGCCAGGCUUGGGGGAGGGAGGGAAGUCUUUCCCCCCCAACCCCAGGAAAGAACUCACAGAUGUUUUGCACCACCUGUGUUGACCUCAUUCAUGAACUUCACGUGGGUCAAGUUGAGGGAGGCAGUGUGGGCCUUCAUCUUACCAUCUGACUGGCCAACCAGAGCAGCAGUGGUGACCAUUUACUGGGCACUUACGGUGUGCCAAGCAAGAUGCUUAAUUCUUUGCAUUUAUUAUCACAUUUGAUCCUCAUGGCAGUUCUGUAAGUCACUAUUUUUAUUCCCAUAUUACAGCUGAGAAAACAAAAUCUUAGAGACAUUAUAUAACUUGUUCAAGUUCACACAUCUAGUAAGUAGUAAAGCUAGUAUACAAAUCCAGGCUAUAAGACUUGGGCUCUUAACUACUCCAUUAUGCUAGUUUUAUCCACCCAUCUCUCCAUCCACCCAUCCAUCCAUCCAUCCAUCCAUUCAUCCAUCCAUCCAUCCAUCCAUCCAUCCAACCAGUUACCCAUUUAUCAGACAGAAUCCCAGUAGAAAACAGAUUUACACUUAAAGUAGAGAGUUCAAGUUGGGCUUAAUAGGGGCGCCUGGGUGGCUCAGUCAUUAAUAGUCUGCCUUUGGCUCAGGUCAUGGUCCCAGGGUCCUGAGAUCAAGCCCCACGUCAGGCUCUCUGCUCAGCGGGAAGCCUGCUUCUCCCUCUCCCACUCCUCCUGCUUGUGUUCCCUCUCUCUCUGUCAAAAUAAAUAAAUAAAAUAUUUUUUUUUUAAAAAGGUGGGCUUAAUAAAGGGACUAUUUAUUAAGAUGAGGAGGUAUGGUUUGAAGGGAAACCACUCUAGUGUCCUAGAGUUAGGAAGAGCAAGGUUGAUAUUACCUAGAACCUGAAGGAAUGAGGAGAGGGAGACAUUGAUGGAACCUGGGGAGAGAGGACCUGAGAGGAGCAGUUCCCUUUGUCAAGAGAUAUGUCAGUCUGAGCUUCUUCCCUUCUUCUCUCUUCCUUUCGAUCUCCUGCCGGGCUUCCCUUCACUGACCCAACCAGAAACCAAAGGGCACUGCGGCCAGUUGAUGCAGUCCCUUCAGGUCAGCCUCUGGGACACAGAGCAGAUGUGGAAAUGUGGUGAGCAGAGCUGGAGGGACAAACGGAAGACGCGCAGCACACCAUCCAUCCAUCCACCCUCCACGUCUCUCCGGGCACUGUGCCAUGUCCCUCUCCGGGGACAUAUUGCUUAGCUCUGUACCUUUGAAGUGAUCCCUGCCUCCACCCUGGACCUGCCUCCUCAGCUGUCCUACAGUUCCCUGCCUCCUACAGGCUGCCAGGACCCACAGUGCUACAGUGUCCCAGCUGUGCUGUCCCCAGAGCUCUGACCAGGGAGGUCCCAGAACUCUGGCACCCCAGGGCCCUGAAUCAUCUGAGAGAACCUUCACCUGACCGGAGUUCUGUCCAGCAGCAGGAGAAGUGAAGCAUGGAGGUCACACCCCUGCACCCAGGAGCAUGGCUGAGGCAGCCAUCCCUCUCUCCAACCUGAGCCUUGUGUCACAGCUCUCCAAGAUUACACAGCAAAGACCAUCACUGGAGCUGUCCAUGUAAACGACCAAGCCUCUGACAGGAAAGGGAAGAGGGAGGUCCAAACAUGGAAACCAGAGGAAGGAGUGACCAGAACCCGAUGGACUGUUGACUCUGAGACAUCUGCACUUGGUCCUUCAUGUACAACUCAAGUUUCUCUUCACCACCACCCUGGCAGGUUAGAUUAUUACCCCACUUUUUUAUAAAGAAAAGAGGCCGAAUGACUUGCCCAAGGUCAUGCAGCCAGUAAAAAACUCCACCCUAUCACAGUGGCCCUUUUGUUCCCGAAUGCACAGCAGAACUCCUACUUCAGGAAGUGGAGAGGAAAGGGGUAGGUCUGGGCCUUCCCAGAGGAUGGAGUGGGGGUCAACAUGACUCCGAGAUUCAAAGAGCCUGGGUGCAGAGAUGGACUGGGUGGGGGUUAGAGCACGCAGAGGCUUUGGAGUCAGUGUCUGCAGCCUCCUGGCCGGUAUUCUUGGGCAGGUGAAUUUACUUCCCCUGGUCUCAGUUUUCUCGCCUGUAAAAUGGGGGUAAUGAUACGCUCCACUCUCUUCAGCAGAUCCCCUUGAAAGUUGAAAGAGAGGCUGUGAGGAAAGCACUUAGCACCGGGGCCCGGCUUGGUGCUCAUCUGUGGCUGUCAUCAUUAGUGCUGGGAGGGAGGUCCCCCGGGGUUGGCAUGAGUGCCGCACCUGGGGAAGGGAAAGGGCAGGGUGUCCCCAGGAAGGAGAGGACCUGGACAGGGACCCAGGCUGCUUUGCUUUGUUCUCAUUCUCAUCUCAAGAAGUGAUUCCCAUUUCUACCCCCUCUAGUAACCUUUAAGCUUCAGAUAAACAACGGAGCUGUUGAGAGAUUUGCCUGGCCCUUCAGGCUUAACCCCUUGGCACCAUCACCUUCUCCUCCUCAGCCUGGGCCCUGAGGACAACUACUGAAGCUCGGGAGGGUGCUGGGAAGAGGGGAGACAAAGGGAGGAGCAGACCGCACCUGCCCCUUGCCGGAGGCGGCACCCAGCCUCCAGGGGGAAUGAGUUCAGUAGGACGGAUGUCAAGCUUCCAGAUGCAGUGCUGAGCCCUUUAAGCCUGUUGCUUAUUUCUCCUGCUUCAUCGUGUGGCAGCCCAGUGUGCAGACUGGCGUGCACACCAGCACCACUGACCAUGCCCUCUGCCAGGUCCCCCGCACGCUCUCAUCAAAUUCAGUGGACACCUCUCGUUCGGUCCUAAUCAGCGGCCCUCUUGGUGUCUCCGGUGCUCUAGACCUGCCCUUCUUCCUCAGACCCUCCCCUUAGUGCCUAUGAUUUGUCCCCCUCCCCUGGCUGGCUCUUCCCUCUUUCCUAGGCUAUGACUUCUCGGUAGCCUGCGAAGACUUCUCUGUCUCCACGGCUCCCUCACCAUGGCUGUGUCCAGGGCCUGUCUCUGGUCCCAGUCCUUCUCCACAGCACACGUUCUCUGUCCUCCCUGCUCUGACCACUCCCUGAUCUCCCUCUCCGGCCGAGAUGGCAAUCUGCCCAGCUCCAUACCCACCAGCCACCAGCCUCAGGGCAGCUCCCCUGCGAUGUCCCUGCGCCCCUCACACUCCGCCUUUUCCGAGACGCGUUGCCUCAUCCUGCCUUUUCUUUGCUCAAAACUUUUCACCUACGAACACUCUGGAAAACUAUCUGGCACCACAUAUUAAAGCUGAGCCAGAUUCCACACUUUGAAAUAUUCCCCCAAAUGUGUACAUAUGGGCUCUAAAAGACACGCGCAGGAAGGUCCGCAGCGCUAUGCCAGAGCGCCCAGACCGAGACUGCGCACGCGCCCGGACCCGUGACCGCACGCGCCUGGACCCGAGUCUGCGCACGCGCCCGGACCCAAGACUGCGCACGCGCUUCGCUCAAGCUACCGCUAUAGCAGCUGUUCCAAUGACUCUCAGAGCCACCAGGGAGUUCAUACUGUGCGAUUCUACCUUCAUCAAGUUCAAACCCGGUGAGAUGAACCUAUGGUGCUGGAAGACGGGACAAGUGGUUAACCUUGGUGGGGGCGGGGGGGAGUGCAUAAUGACCGGAAGGGGCCUGGGAGUACCUCUGGGUAGUGAAAAUGUUCUGUAUUUUGCUUGGGAUGCCCGUUUACAUGGGUGUACUUCCUGUAAAAAUUCAUCGACAUGUACGCUUAAGAUAUGUGAAUCU
Long non-coding RNA from Mirounga angustirostris (Northern elephant seal), 6843 nucleotides. RefSeq lists it as uncharacterized. The transcript is spliced from 4 exons. Lineage: Eukaryota; Metazoa; Chordata; Mammalia; Carnivora; Phocidae. The record is from RefSeq and is a predicted model, not a curated record.